This is a long non-coding RNA of Pleuronectes platessa (European plaice), 563 nucleotides long. RefSeq lists it as uncharacterized. Lineage: Eukaryota; Metazoa; Chordata; Actinopteri; Pleuronectiformes; Pleuronectidae. The transcript has 3 exons. The record is from RefSeq and is a predicted model, not a curated record.
AUUGGGGUGAAGACAGAAAAGCAACAAGAGGAGAAGUCACUUCAGAGCAGAAACAGAGAGAGAGAGUGAGACAGAAGGUUCGUUGGAGGAAGAAGAAGAAGAAGAGAUGUUUGUUCUCAUCUUGGCGACUCUGCUUUUCUCUGUGAGAGUCAGUGAUGCUGAGACAGACUCCUCACUCCCUCCCUCGUGUGUGUGUUCCACCUGGGUGAUUGUCAGCUCCUCCCUGAUUGUUUGCACCUGGUCCUCAUCACCCGGUGUAUUUAGUCUGUGUGUUCCUGUGUGGCGUUGCCAGUUCGUCUUUGUUUCUCAAUGUUCCUAGCGUUCCAGCAAUUCCUCCUGAUAGCCUUCCUGUUACCGAUCCCUGCCUGCUUAACGGUUUACGUCUCUGCCUUUUCCCUGCCGGAUACCCUGCCCUGUGUUCGACUGCCCUCCCGUGUACCGACCUUGGACUGGAACGAUUACGAACUCUGCCGCUGCCUGUCUCCUGUGGAAUUAUUGUACCCGUGUUUGGACUGCCGUGACGUGUACCAAUAUUCUACAGUAAAGCUGGUUAAUUGCACCUU